UUUUUUCAUUAAUGUUUCUAUGGUUUGGGAAAGUCCAGUCUUUGGCUUUGGCUUUGGCUUUGCCUUGCAUGCCACAUUGAAUCUCUAUUUUCUCUAUAACUCAUUAUCGUCAAUCAAUUUCUUAUCAUUAAUUUCUGAUGUGUACAGUUGGUUUAAUCUCGGUGAUGAAGACUAAAAAAGAACUACCUUUUGCAAUACAUGCAUGUUUGCUAGAAAGGGUUUGCAAAGAGGAAUUUAGAUGAGUAUGUAUUUCUUGGCAAUCGGCUGCAGGUGUAUAUGCACCUUAGUUUGAGAGAUUUUUGGAUACCAAGAAGAAACUGAAGGUCGGGAGAAAUGAAGUCCUCAACCAAAUAAGAUGUAUGGUUUCACCAUUUUCUAAAAAAAUCUGCAUCUUAUAAUUUAGUGUUGUGAUGAUAAAAAUAAUAAGAAUUUGCAGUUAGGGAAGGAGGUCCAGGUUGAAGGACAAUAAAAAAUGAUGUAGUGUAGCAUGUCUAAUUUUUCAAUUCGAACCAUUUAAAUGUAGAUUCAUGUGUAUUGUUUCCUUAUCAUUGUUAUAAAGAAAUUCCAACGGUACUUGAGCACUC
Molecule: long non-coding RNA, 584 nt
Organism: Lolium rigidum
Lineage: Eukaryota; Viridiplantae; Streptophyta; Magnoliopsida; Poales; Poaceae
Exons: 2
Source: RefSeq, a predicted model, not a curated record